RNAcentral lists this ribosomal RNA (119 nucleotides) under Pteropus alecto (black flying fox). Lineage: Eukaryota; Metazoa; Chordata; Mammalia; Chiroptera; Pteropodidae. The record is from RNAcentral.
GUCUACGACCAUGCCACCCUGAACGUGCCUGAUCUCGUCUGAUCUCGGAAGCUAAGCAGUGUUGGGCCUGGUUAGUACUUGGAUGGGAGACCACCUAGGAAUAACAAGUGCUGUAGGAA